UUCAGCUCAAUUUACGUGAAUGCCCUUCGCUUCAAAUGGAAUCGGCGCAAUUCAGUUUGCCUAUUUUUUUCGUCCCUGUACUCUAAUUUUUUCCUGAAAUUUAGAAUUAAUCAACGAUAUACUCUGCUUGUAAAUAGGUAUUUGAUAUGCUGACUUCUUAUAGGCAAACAAUCUUCUCUCGACAAAAGUUUAGGGUUUUGGAUGGUAUUCAUCGCCGCCAACAAUCUUCUGUUAACUUUUUUCGAUCAACAAAACCUUUUAAUCUUGGAUUCGUUCACAUUCCAGAGCAAGAGCAGAAGAAAGUAAAAGAUCGAAUUUGACAUCCAUUCUUCGCUUAGCGUUUCGAAGAUCGAACUCGACAUCCAUUCUUCGGUUAGGAAGCAAAUUUCUCUCUUCCCGUCAAUUUUAGUUGACAAAUCUGUAACUAUGAAUUGGGAUUCUUUGGCGCAUGGCAGACAUAUUUCUUGGAAGCAUCUGCUCUCACGAUUGCUCAUCUCCAUGAAUUCAAAUCGAAAAUUUGUCACUUCAUUAAGAAUAUCCAAAUUUUAGGAACGAAAUUGAUUCUCAGUAUUUGUACAAUUUCAUAUUCGCAGCUUCAAAAUGAUUUUUUUUUUUCAUGUUUCAAUUUCUAUUACAGCAGCAUAUCCGUAAAUCAAAAGUCAGAGAACACCCGCAUCAACAAAAAACCCAAAUGGUAUGUCGAUUUUAAUUCUAGGGUUUCCACUUUGAGAUUUAAGUAUCACUUUUAGAUAUAUUAUUUUGGUCGUCAUUAUGUGUGCCUCUUCCCUCUUCCCACUUCUCCUUCUCAUGCUUUCAGAUGUUAAAAUGUGGUUAAUUUAUACUUUAUGUUAAAGUUUCAUAUUCCAUUCACUGUUAUUAGUAUUAAUCAUAGCACUAAAGGCCAUGAAUCUGUGAGUUAUAUCCAAAUCUAUAAUCGGUUGCAAAAUAAAUCCACUAAAGAAGGUAACAUAUAUGCAUAAUUAUAUAUUUUUUUUGCCUAUUUAUUUCACCAUUUUUUGUAUGAUGCCAGGUAGGCUAGAAAGUCCUUCUGAUUUGAUUCACAAUAUGGUUAGUAGUAUUACAAGCUUCACUGAUAGGUAUGUUUUUUAAAAGUUUGGAGUACAAGACAUUUGGUAACAUCAGACAUAAAAAGAAUGAUAAAGUGAUUCACUCUUAUCUAUUUGAUCAUAUGACUUUUUUUUUUUUUUUUUUUUUUAUGUCUGAUAACAUGACCGGGGAAUGAAAAUACAGCUUUGAAAAAAUAGAAGCAUGAAAGAGAAACGUGAUUACAUGGCUAAUAAGAAAAAAAUGUGGCCAAAAUUUUGUUGUUUGUCUAUGUGUUUUACCCAAGGAUGCGUUACUUUCUUUAUCGACAUUUGACAUGGUUCAAUGCCCCCAAUUGGAGCGAGUACAACAAGCUGGAAACGUUGUAAAGAAGUAUGAUUUUCCAAGGAUGAUUCCUGCUCAUUUAGUUUUGACCGAGUGUUAAAAAAUCUCAAGAAAUAAACCUAAUUUAUCUUUAUUGCAUAUAGUUUUUAGAGUGUAAUACUUAGACAAAUACUCUAUUUCUUUUUGUUGUUCCACUCUAUGAUUUUCAUGUCGC
Molecule: long non-coding RNA, 1603 nt
Organism: Lactuca sativa (garden lettuce)
Lineage: Eukaryota; Viridiplantae; Streptophyta; Magnoliopsida; Asterales; Asteraceae
Source: RefSeq, a predicted model, not a curated record